This is an RNA transcript of Mya arenaria, 3891 nucleotides long. RefSeq lists it as uncharacterized. The record is from RefSeq and is a predicted model, not a curated record. NCBI's taxonomy places the organism in Eukaryota, Metazoa, Mollusca, Bivalvia, Myida, Myidae. The transcript is spliced from 15 exons.
UUUUAAAAAUGAUUGAUACUGAGUCAAGUGGUUAACAACCUCUUUAAACGUGAUUCUUUUGCCAGCGUCACUUGCCCUUAGCUUUAUUAUACACUCGUAAUUAUGAUGUCGUACUCGUGAUCUUGAUUAUCAUAAAUGUGUCUAUAAGUUCAGUGAUACAUGCACUCAUAUGAAGAUAUAGCGAUGAAAGUGAUAUAGUAAUUGACAAAUAAUCGUCACUUUAUUCCUCAAAUCAAACUUGCGCAGUAAAAACCGUUUUGACUUCAAUUCUUGUAUCUUAAACUGCAUAAGCAAGUACCAUGGCAUCAGAUCAGAUUCGGUGUGAAAUGUGCUAUAACGAAAAUGCAGUUGGAUAUUGCAAAACCGGUGGUAACGUUGGAAAAACCUGUAUAGGUGUUCACAAGACUGAAAAGGUGUUUCAAACUCGCAAUGUCAGUUUGAAUGAGGACAGUAUUGAUACCCCAACGGUCACUAUGCGUGACAUCACCGCAGCAUCCGACAGAGAGAACGAUAUUUAUAUGUGAAAUUAAUGAUUCAAUGAUUUGUGGUAGAUGCUUUCAUUCAGAACAUCCUUCUUGCGUUGAAGACGUUGUUGACUUGUUGCAUGGAGAUAUACACAUUGACUGCAAUACAAUCAACUCAAUGAAGUCACUGUUCACUGAGUUGAAAGCUGAAAUUCGGUUUUUGAAAGACGAUGUGUGGACGAGUGUAUGGAAUUAGGAAAUAAAAUAAAACAAAGGGUAGAUGAAUUGACAAGAAACAAUUAAGACGGAAUAAGAGAGAAAUAUGAAGAAAAUGUGAACACCUAUUCCCAUAUUACUAAGACGUGUGGUGCGAAAACCAAGUGAUGUGACAAUGAGGAAAGUAACAUUGAUGAUUUUGUUGACAAUAAAAUGGCUGGGCGCUUGUACCUCGUGAGCAGACGAUUUGAGAGAGAGGUUUCGAACGCUUGAUCUCAACUCAUAGAAAUCAUACACAAACACACGUUUAAAGGGAUUGACUUUAAAGAAAACAAAGUACAUGUAAUUCUAAAAUGUGUGUUUGAGGACUUGGAGGAAGUUUGUGAACAACAAGAAGAAGUUACUGGAAGCGACGAUGCACAAGCCAACGACGUUGUCGCAUUCACCACAGGAAUAAACAAGACACGGCACGAGUUCAGUGCAUUGUUACAAAAGGCAAGAAAUGAAUUAGACGAAUCAGAAAAGACAAGACAGUCACUGCGUAAUGAGCUGAAACAAGUACAACAAGACCUGGAUUAUUCAGAAAAGACAAGACAGUAACUUCGUGAUGAGCUGAAACAAGUACAACAAUCCUUGGAUAAUUCAGAAAAGACAAGACAGUCAUUGCGUGAUGAGGAACAACGAAAGAAACACGACCUGGAUAAUUCAGAAAAGACACGGCGGGAGUUCACUGCAUUGUUGAUAAAGGCAAAAAAUGAAUUAGACGAAUCAGAAAGACAAUUAAAUCAAUGUGUGAUGACCUGAAUCAAGUGAAACAAUACCUGGAUAAUUUAGAAAAGAUGAGAAAGUCGCUGUGUGAUGAGCUACACCAAGUGAAGCAAGACCUGGAUAAUUCAGAAAAUACAAGACAGUCAUGGCAUGAUGAGCUGAAACAAGUGCAAUACUACCUGGCUAAAUCAGAAAUGGACCGAAUGGAUAUCGAAGAGGAGUUGAGAGGAACUAACGAAGCCUUGAAUCGAGUUCUAAGGGAAAGAGCAAUGAUCCUGUCGAAGUUUCCACAAAUUAGAGAACACUUGUACUGGACUCAACCCACAGUUGGGACAGUUAGGGUCGAGGCCAGCAGAGAAACAUCGGAUUAUGGCGAACCAUCUACAAUCUUUUUGGUUUUCACCUUCCCGGAUGGCAUUCAGAUGAGGCACUUUUUGGCCUCGGGAAAACAAUAUACAGGCGGCAGGUUCAGAGGACGCUUGAGUAGCGACCAUGAGGGCCAGCUGCUAUGUAGGAUGUUAAAGGCGGCGUUCAGAAGAGGGCUGAUGUUCAUCUUGGGGAAGAAAUGAGAAAUUGACCUGCAUGGCGUCUCAUUGUUUAAUGAUUCAGUGUAUAAUUGCCGCUAUAGUUUAAGUCCGGAUUACUAUGACUACGUACAGACAUUGCAAGUGGAACUGGCAGUCAAAGGCAUCACAAUGGCGGACAUAGAUCUGACGGAGAAGCUGGAAGAGAUUUUCAUUGUCGAUGUUCAUUUACAAUGUUUAAUUACUUCAUGUCCGAUGUCCCGCUGAGUUCUGUAAUGAUAUGAUAGCGAAGUUGACAGACAAGGGAAAACAGAGGCGCAUGUGAAACCUGACGGAAUCUUGAAACCAGUCGUUCUCGGUCGAUUUUCCGUAUACUGUCUAAGGUCAACUGUUGUGAAUAUUAUAUCUUCCAAUGAACUCGCGAUGAAAAUGAAAUUUGCGGGUUGUAUACACAGUAUAGUAUUAUCAGAUUGGUAUACUAAAUUAAGAUACAGUUAUUGUCUUAUGAUUUGUCCAUUUGUUUAAUAAUUUAAUUGAUUUUAUUUACGAACAGUUUAAUAUCGAUCAUGGGCCAUUUGCGCUUAAUUGAAUAUGUAUUAACAAGCGGAAGUAAUACCUAUAAUAGUUAUAAAACAGAGAAAAAUUUCAAAGCUGAUGUAUUUAGAAAAGUAUAUUGAAUUAUACAGAUACAGUUGUUAACAUUGUGAAAUAGAUAAACCUAUUUAUAAUUAUGCUCCGCCAUACAUGUAUUUAUAAGCUAUUGUAUUAUGUUAAUUUGAUCAAGGGUCAUAUUGGCCUAUUUCAAAUAUGUAGUGUGUUGUAUAUUGCUUUUGAAUAAACUUUCUUCUUCUUUUUCUAUACGAUGUCUGACGUAGUUGUUUUAAACAAUCUAAGGAUAUAAUUUGAAAUGUUAUCUACCUACUAUUUUAAUUUGUUGGGAUAUAUAUAUAUAUAUAUAAACGCUUAGAUACGGGUACUGUUACGUUGAAAGAGAAAUUGGAAGCCAUAAUUUGCUUUAGAAAACACAGUAAGCAUGAAUGUGCAUACAAUUUUAAUAAUAACAGCAAGUUAGAUUACAGUUUUUGUACAAUAGUUGUAUAAAUGUUACGUACUGUCAAUUAUUAUUUUUUAACCAAAACGUGUAUUUAUCUAGACCAGCAAAUUUUUCAAGAUAAUUAUUUUGAUUCGUGCGAAGCUCUGUGUGUAGUGUAAUAUGAUGUUGUUUGCAUCGGUCAGACUCAGUUAGGCUUCAUCCUUUUGAUUCUUAAAGCGUAAUUCGUCCUUUUGGUGUCAGCUUAAAUUCCGCUGUAGUUUUCCUAUGCAUUGUUAUGUGAUUAUAUAGUGCGUUAUGCUAUUAUUCUUUAUAACUAAUACUAUUUGGCUAUAACCGUGUUUCCUUGAGUGUUUUGUUACUAAUAUUUUGUCUUUUACAAAUAAUUAAAUCUAAUCAUAUCUUUUUAGAAUGUUAUAAUUGUCCAUGCGGUAUGUGUGCGUGUUCAUUUCAUUUAAAUAUGUUUUAAUGUUAUCAAAUAUGAAUAAAUAUAACAUUCCUGCGAAGAAGACGUAAAUACACACAAACAUAUCGGAAAUGCUUAGAUUGUCCUGCGUAGUAUGCUCAUAUUUAAAAAAAAUAUAACGUUUCGUGACAGGGAUACAAUGGAAUCUACAGUCACGUGAGAAGCAGUCAAUACCUCAACUAUGACAUUGUUCGAAGAUAGAAUAUAAAUAAACAUAGCACUACAAAACAGCACAUACAUUUGUUUACAAAAAUAUUUUUAUAUCAAUACAUGAUGGGUUCACAUCUGUUUAAAAUGUCAGUAAAAACGAGUUUACCUUUGAGCUCAGGCCAAAUUUUGAAUGCUUGACCAGAACGAUCCAUAACGUAAAGUGUCAGUAUGAAUAAUUUAUUACCGGACGUA